GAAGAAGAGGAGGAGAAGAUUGGGAAAUGUGUUAAUCAUGUUGCAGUGGGCUAAGGAAUGAAAACACUGGAGAAUUUUAAAAACAUUGCCUGGUCUGAUGAAUCCCUGUUCCUGCUGUUUCACGCUGAUUGGAGGAAACCACAAGUACAACAUUGCAGGCUGGUGGUGGUGGUGGUAUGAUGGUGUGUUUUCAUGCCACAUAUUGGGCCCCUUGAUAAAAGUGGAGCAACGUUUGUGUAAAAAAUCAUUGCCAAUCAGGUGCAUCCCUUCAUGGUGGCCAGGAAUGAUUCCAAGAACAUGACAGGGAAUUCAGCUUGCCAAGUCACCAGAUCUCUGCCGAGUCACCAGAUCUCAAUCCAAUUGUGCAUCUGUGGGAGGACAUGGAAGGAGCUAUUCAGAGUAGAUCCACUCCCAGCCAACUUGACACAAUUGUGGGAAGCAUUGGAGUCAACAUGGGCCAGCAUCCCUGUGGAACGUUCUCAACACCUUGGAGAGUCCAUACCCCGACUAUUGAGGCUGUUCUGAGGACAAAAGGAGGUAUAACUCAAUAUUAGGAAGCCAUUCCUAAUGUUUUGUGCACUCAGUGUAUAUCAGAUAAAGAUGUUGUGGUGAUCAGUUUUCAGCAUUAGUUUGGGUGAAUAAUUUUAUAUUACUCAACCAUUUUGUUUAAUGAUAAACAGGCUAUGAAUUGAAUACUUGUGUUUCUUAAUUUCUUUUAAUACUAGAUUUAUUUUAGUCAUUGAUGAUGAAUGUAUUUGAAUAACUGUAUUGAAGUUAAUUGAUCUGGCAGCAGGUAGCCAGCGGUUAAGAGUGUUGGGCCAGUAACUGAAAGGUCGCUUGUUUGAAUCCCGAGCCGACUAGGUGAAAAAUCUGUCAUUGUGUCCUUGAGCAAGCCAAUUAACUCUUAUUUGUCCUGUAAGUCUUUCUGGAUAAAAACAUCUGCUAAAUGACAAGAAUGCAAUGAAAAAUAAUGUUUGUACAUGAAUUCAUGCUGGGCAGCCACUUUUUUCUGAUGUGUAUAAUUAAAUGAAAAACUGUUUUUAGUUAAAUACUG
Long non-coding RNA from Oncorhynchus kisutch (coho salmon), 1054 nucleotides. RefSeq lists it as uncharacterized. NCBI's taxonomy places the organism in Eukaryota, Metazoa, Chordata, Actinopteri, Salmoniformes, Salmonidae. The record is from RefSeq and is a predicted model, not a curated record. The transcript is spliced from 2 exons.